Molecule: unclassified non-coding RNA, 252 nt
Filed under: uncultured fungus
Lineage: Eukaryota; Fungi
Description: partial contains 5.8S ribosomal RNA, internal transcribed spacer 2, and large subunit ribosomal RNA
Source: RNAcentral
AACGCACAUUGCGCCCCCUGGCAUCCCGGGGGGCACGCCUGUCCGAGCGUCAUUGCCACCCCUCAAGCCCGGCUUGGGUGAUGGGCGCCCGUCCCCGCGCCGCCGGGGACGCGCCCGAAAGGCAGCGGCGGCGCCGGCCGCGGUCGGAGCGCAUGGGGCUUUCGUCACGCGCUCGCGCCCGCGGUCGGGGCCCGCCGACCCCAACCUCCUCCGGUUGACCUCGGAUCAGGCGGGGAUACCCGCUGAACUUAA